GACGAACGCUGGCGGCGUGCUUAACACAUGCAAGUCGAACGGUAAGGCCCUUCGGGGUACACGAGUGGCGAACGGGUGAGUAACACGUGGGUGAUCUGCCCUGCACUUCGGGAUAAGCCUGGGAAACUGGGUCUAAUACCGGAUAGGACCACUGCCUGCAUGGGUGGUGGUGGAAAGCUUUUGCGGUGUGGGAGGGGCCCGCGGCCUAUCAGCUUGUUGGUGGGGUGAUGGCCUACCAAGGCGACGACGGGUAGCGGGCCUGAGAGGGUGACCGGCCACACUGGGACUGAGAUACGGCCCUGACUCGUACGGGAGGGGGGAGUGGGGGAUAGUGCACAAUGGGCGCGAGCCUGAUGCAGCGACGCCGCGUGGGGGAUGACGGCCUGCGGGUUGUGUACCUCUUUCAGCACCGACGAAGCGCAAGUGACGGUAGGUGCAGAAGAAGGACCGGCCAACUACGUGCCAGCCGCCGCCGUAA
Molecule: ribosomal RNA, 478 nt
Filed under: uncultured bacterium
Lineage: Bacteria
Description: partial 16S ribosomal RNA
Rfam family: Bacterial small subunit ribosomal RNA
Source: RNAcentral